ACGGAAGGCAGCAGUGGGGAAUAUUGCACAAUGGGGGAAACCCUGAUGCAGCGACGCCGCGUGAGCGAAGAAGUAUUUCGGUAUGUAAAGCUCUAUCAGCAGGGAAGAAAAUGACGGUACCUGACUAAGAAGCUCCGGCUAAAUACGUGCCAGCAGCCGCGGUAAUACGUAUGGAGCAAGCGUUAUCCGGAUUUACUGGGUGUAAAGGGAGCGUAGACGGAACAGCAAGUCUGAUGUGAAAGGCAGGGGCUCAACUCCUGGACUGCAUUGGAAACUGCUGAUCUUGAGUGUCGGAGAGGUAAGCGGAAUUCCUAGUGUAGCGGUGAAAUGCGUAGAUAUUAGGAGGAACACCAGUGGCGAAGGCGGCUUACUGGACGAUAACUGACGUUGAGGCUCGAAAGCGUGGGGAGCAAACAGGAUUAGAUACCCUGGUA
RNAcentral lists this ribosomal RNA (434 nucleotides) under uncultured Lachnospiraceae bacterium. RNAcentral's name for it is "partial 16S ribosomal RNA". It matches the Rfam family "Bacterial small subunit ribosomal RNA", at positions 341 to 792 of the family's 1533-position model. The record is from RNAcentral. Lineage: Bacteria; Bacillati; Bacillota; Clostridia; Lachnospirales; Lachnospiraceae.